UACCAGCUCUCCGAGUUGUAGGGAUGAUUAUUGGGCUUAAAGCGUCCGUAGCUGGCUUAGCAAGUCUCCUGUUAAAUUCAGCGACCUAAUCGUUGAGCCGCGGGAGAUACCACUAGGCUAGGAGGCGGGAGAGGUCGACGGUACUUUCGGGGUAGGGGUGAAAUCCUAUAAUCCCGGGAGGACCACCAGUGGCGAAGGCUGUCGACUAGAACGCGCUCGACGGUGAGGGACGAAAGCUGGGGGAGCGAACCGGAUUAGAUACCCGGGUAGUCCCAGCUGUAAACUAUGCGGGCUGGGUGUUGGGGUGGCUACGGGCCACUUCAGUGCCGCAGGAAAGCCAUUAAGCCCGCCGCCUGGGGAGUACGGCCGCAAGGCUGAAACUUAAAGGAAUUGGCGGGGAGCACCACAAGGCGUGAAGCUUGCGGUUC
RNAcentral lists this ribosomal RNA (428 nucleotides) under uncultured archaeon. RNAcentral's name for it is "bacterial SSU rRNA". It matches the Rfam family "Archaeal small subunit ribosomal RNA", at positions 474 to 903 of the family's 1478-position model. The record is from RNAcentral.